Molecule: ribosomal RNA, 513 nt
Filed under: Kuehneola uredinis
Lineage: Eukaryota; Fungi; Basidiomycota; Pucciniomycetes; Pucciniales; Phragmidiaceae
Description: eukaryotic LSU rRNA
Rfam family: Eukaryotic large subunit ribosomal RNA
Source: RNAcentral
ACGGCGAGUGAAGAGGGAAAAGCCCAAAUUUGUAAUCUGGCUCUUUCAGAGUCCGAGUUGUAAUUUUGAGAGCUGUUUUCUGUGCUGGACCAUUUCUAAGUCUGUUGAAAAACAGCAUCAUGGAGGGUGAGAAUCCCGUAUAUGAUAUGGACUACCAGGGCUAUAUGAUACAGUCUCUAAGAGUCGAGUUGUUUGGGAAUGCAGCUCAAAUUGGGUGGUAAAUUCCAUCUAAGGCUAAAUACAGGUGAGAGACCGAUAGCAAACAAGUACCGUGAGGGAAAGAUGAAAAGAACUUUGGAAAGAGAGUUAACAGUACGUGAAAUUGUUAUAAAAGAAACGAUUGAAGUUAGCCUUGUAUUUGUUAGUUCAGCUCUUUUAGGGUGUAUUCUAAUGAUAUACAGACCAACAUCAGUUUUUGGGUGCUGGAUAAGAGUCUUGGAAAUGUAGCAGCCUUGGCUGUGUUAUAGUCCUGGAUUUUGGAUACAGUGCCUAGGACUGAGGAAUGCAGCAAGC